This is a long non-coding RNA of Homo sapiens (human), 634 nucleotides long. Ensembl annotates it as long intergenic non-protein coding RNA 2828. The record is from Ensembl. NCBI's taxonomy places the organism in Eukaryota, Metazoa, Chordata, Mammalia, Primates, Hominidae.
AGACGUUGCUGCUGUGGCUUAGGAGAGGAGCAGCCCAGUCUGACUCGUGGAUUUUUACCCACUGCUGUCAGAACACACUUUCUGUUAGAAUCCCCCAAGACCUCAGACCUACAGCCUGCCCCUUAGGUGGUUCACUGUCUUCAUCGAAACGUUUGCCGCCGAGUCGCACGUCCUUGGCACCAAAAAGCGUUGAGUCCAUUUUUCAAAGCUCUAAUGUGCUCUUUAAAACACAGUUAUAGCUGGUGGAACUUGGAGAGCUGUGGCUUCCUGUGGUUGUUGAAGGUGACGGUCAUCUUGAUCCUGGCUGGGCAGUGCUGGAGCAGCUUCCCCACCUGGGGAUCUCACUGGCUAUCCUUCUCCUCAACUUGGAUGUUUAGUUGUCUUUUUAUUUCUUUGUUUAUUGUUGCUAUUGGCUUUGUUUGUGGGUUUAUUUCUUAUUUUGGGACUUUUAGCACAUAAAGUUGGAGAUAAUGAAUGGGAACAGAAUGGGAAAGAGUGGAUAUAAUGAUACACCACAUACCCAUCACCUACUUUCAAUAAUUACCUACACUUUCCCAGUCUUCUUCCAUGUAUUCCCCAUACUCUAUUGUCUAUUUUUCUGGAGAAUUUUGAAGUAAAUCUAAUAUAUCAUACC